AUUAUGCCCCCUUUUGAAAAAAAGGGGGUAUAUUGCUUUGCACUUGUCGGUCCGUCGGUCCGUCGGUCCGUCCGUAGACCAAAUGGUUUCCGAGUGAUAACUAAAGAACCCUUAGGCCUAGGAACUUCAAACUUGGUAUGGUGAUUGGUCAUGACAAGUAGAUGACCCCUAUUGAUUUUGGGGUCAAGGGGUCAAAGGUCAAGGUCACAUUGACCUUGUAAGCAAAAACGGUUUCCGAUCAAUAACGAAAGAACCUUAAGGCCUAGGAACUUCAAACUUGGUAUGGUGAUUUGUCAUGAUCAGUAGAUGACCCCUAUUGAUUUUGGGGUCAAGGGGUCAAAGGUCAAGGUCACAUUGACCUUGUAAGCAAAAACGGUUUCCGAUCAAUAACUAAAGAACCUUAAGGCCUAGGAACUUCAAACUUGGUAUGGUGAUUUGUCAUGAUCAGUAGAUGACCCCUAUUGAUUUUGGGGUCAAGGGGUCAAAGGUCAAGGUCACAUUGACCUUGUAAGCAAAAACGGUUUCCGAUCAAUAACUAAAGAACCCUAAGGCCUAGGAACUUCAAACUUGGUAUGGUGAUUGGUCAUGAUCAGUAGAUGACCCCUAACGAUUUUGGGGUCAAGGGGUCAAAGGUCAAGGUCACAUUGACCUCUUAGGUAAAAACAGUUUCGGAUCAAUAACUAAAGAACCCUUAGGCCUAGGAACUUCGAACUUGGUAUGGUGAUUGGUCAUGAUCAGUAGAUGACCCCUAUUGAUUUUGGGGUCAAGGGGUCAAAGGUCAAGGUCACAUUGACCUCUUAGGUAAAAGCAGUUUCCGAUCAAUAACUAAAGAACCCUUAGGCCUAGGAACUUCAAACUUGGUAUGGUGAUUGGUCAUGACCAGCAGAUGACCCCUACUGAUUUUGGGGUUAAGGGGUCAAAGGGAAAGGUCACAUUGACCUUGUAGGUAAAAAUGCUUUCCGAUCAAUAACUUAAGAACCCUUAGGCCUAGGAACUUCAAACUUGGUAUGGUGAUUGGUCAUGACCAGCAGAUGACCCCUACUGAUUUUGGGAUCAAGGGGUCAAAGGUCAAGGUCCCAUUGACCUUGUAAGUAAAAACGGUUUCUGAUCAAUAACUAAAGAACACUUGGGCCUAGGAACUUCAAACUUGGCAUAGUGAUUGGUCAUGAUCAGCAGAUGACCCCUAUUGAUUUUGGGGUCAAAGGUCAAGGUCACAUUGACCUUGUAUGUUAAAACGGUUUCGGAUCAAUAAUAAAAGAACCCUUAGGCCUAGGAACUUCAAACUUGGCAUGGUGAUUAGUCAUGACCAGCAAAUGACCCCUAUUGAUUUUGGGGUCAAGGGGUCAAAGGUCAAGGUCACAUUGACCUUGUAAGUAAAAACGGUUUCUGAUCAAU
Ruditapes philippinarum (Manila clam) is the source of this 1395-nucleotide long non-coding RNA. RefSeq lists it as uncharacterized. The transcript has 2 exons. Lineage: Eukaryota; Metazoa; Mollusca; Bivalvia; Venerida; Veneridae. The record is from RefSeq and is a predicted model, not a curated record.